ACAUCAUUCCAACUUCCUCGGC
Molecule: microRNA, 22 nt
Filed under: Caenorhabditis briggsae
Lineage: Eukaryota; Metazoa; Nematoda; Chromadorea; Rhabditida; Rhabditidae
Description: Cbr-Let-7-P6_3p* (star (passenger))
Source: RNAcentral